GUUCAAAAAGAAGAGGUAAAACGUAGGUCCCGAGCGUUGUUCGGAUUCACUGGGUGUAAAGGGCGCGUAGGUGGUUGUCUGUGUCUCAUGUGAAAACUCAGGGCUCAACUCUGAGAUUGCGUGGGAAACUAGGCAGCUAGAGGACGGUAGAGGGGAGUGGAAUUCCCGGUGUAGCGGUAAAAUGCGUAGAUACCGGGAGGAACACCGGUGGCGAAGGCGGCUCUCUGGGCCGAUCCUGACGCUGAGGCGCGAAAGCUAGGGUAGCGAACCGGAUUAGAUACCCGGGUAGUCCUAGCCGUAAACGAUGGGUGCUAGGUGUUGGGGGGUAAAGACCCUUCAGUGCCGAAGCUAACGCGAUAAGCAUCCCACCUGGGGAGUACGGCCGCAAGGUUAAAACUCAAAGAAAUUGACGG
RNAcentral lists this ribosomal RNA (413 nucleotides) under uncultured bacterium. RNAcentral's name for it is "bacterial SSU rRNA". It matches the Rfam family "Bacterial small subunit ribosomal RNA", at positions 505 to 916 of the family's 1533-position model. The record is from RNAcentral.